AAAAUGAUUUUUUAAAUUACAAAAAAAAAAAAAUAUUUGGAAUUAUCUACUUAAUUUUCCCUGUCUUUUCCUGCACUUUGUCUACAAAGGCCACACUGUCCCUGCCAGGUUGGGGGUGUUUUUUUAUGUUUUAAUUUUAAGCUGCAGAGUAAACCCUGUAAGUUUGGCAGGAGAAGUCCUUAUAGAUUUCAGGGCAAUAUUUUGCAAUUCUUGUUUUUGCAGCUAUAAACACCUUCCAGUGCCAAGGGGGAAGAGGAUUUUAAUCCAGAUAAAAUAAGAUUCUUAAACACUGAAAACUGUACUGGGAUUUAUGGGCCAAUUUGAAUAUUUGAGCUCCCGUGCCAAAAGCUGCACAUUCCACAUGUUGCCUGACUGGCUCAUUCCAAGCUGCAUCACCCAUCCAGAGCUACCCUGCAACCCAUUCCAGCAAGUAAACUUGGAGUUUUGUUCUCAGAAUGUCUUCACCAAAUGUUAUUUCCAUAUUUGCUUUGCCUUUUACCCUGAAAUCUUUUCAUUUUGUUUUUUUUUUUUUUCUCCUGUAGUAUUUUUAUCCCGCAUCUUAUUUAGCACCUUUUAAUAAGCUGAAUUCUUACCAAGCGAGCACAACAACAUCUGAAAGAUGAAAUCUCUCUCUUUGAUGGUAUGAAACCAUGACCCAACAGGCCCAUCCCCUGCCUGGAGGGCUGGUGGGAGCUUCAUGUGAGAUUAUUAAAUCCUUCAGAAACUCAGGUAUGUUUAUUCGUAUUUCGGGGUAUCUCGCCAACAUCACAAUCCUUUCCUCCUUUGAGCACAAAAAUGAUUUACAAUUAAAAAAGUAUUUGCCAUUUUGCUCUGCCUAAACCACGCUCCCCUUUUAUUCCUGAGUAGUUUCAGUUGUCGUUUGCUUCUUUCUGUUUUUCCAGGCAGCUCAUUUGCUUUGGUUCUGCAGGACACUGAGGUGAGAAUUUGCAGUGGUGUCUCACAGAAACCAACAGGACGAGCUGGGGCACAAAACUGCUCCUCAUUUCCACCCACAAACCCCUUCCUCUGCCUUCCUUGCAGGCCCUUUCUGGCCAGUUCUCUCUACUGAGACUCAUCCCCCUUACACUGAAGUUCCCAAAGUCCUCUGUGACACCCAGACCAUUCUCAUUCUUUCCUUAAAAAAAAAAAAAAAGACAAGUGAAAACUCGUUCACAAGGAUGGUGAUUUGACAGUCAAAUGGGUCGCCGUACGUGGGACUGCCUGCAGCUCGAGUUUUUAAUCUUAUCACUGUUUUCAACAACUUCUAUUUUUUAGCAUUGCAUAUGCUUUAAAGUAACAGUUUGCAUUUUGCUCCUUGCCUCGUCCCUGCCAGUUAUACCUGAAAUGUCAUCUAAAUAUCACCGUGGUGGAGGGAAGGAACCAAUCUACUCUGCUCCUGAGCUCUUUCCUCCGCUCCUUCCAUCCAAAGCCACGUUUCCAGAGAUGUUCCUUGCCUUUUCUCCAAUUCCUUGCUGGCAAUUUAAACUUCACACAGCCCAGUUUUGCCAGUCUUUUUUCCUGGCUCCCUCAUGCUUCCCUCACUAGCAAAGGCACCCUGGGAUUGCUCUUUGUAACGAGUUGGGCACAUUUGGCUCCUUCCUUUCUCUCCCUACUCAUCCCUCUGUUCAUCCCACUCCUCACCACUCUCACUCAGCUCCUGCUCCUCCAUCCAGAACAGGGAGAGAGGAUCUUUUCUCUUCCUAGACAUUAAAACAUUGUCUAUCUCCUCUUCCCUGCCACUGCUUUCUUUCCUGCCUCCCUUCUAUCUUUUACAAUCCAGAGAACAAGAUAGUUUGUCUGGUUUUUGAUAAGAAUACAGGAGCACGUUUGCUCCACCAGAGUCAGCUUAAAAGUCUCCUUCUUGUCGUUGUGACUCCACUAUUAACUCCACUUUUCCCUUUCCUAAUGACAUGACCCUGGGUUAAUCCGAGUCCUCUGCAGCAGUUUGCAGAUUCCUUUCAACAUUAUCUUGUAGGUGGAAGAACUUCCCCCAAAUUGGUUUUCCAGGUCAUUAAUCUUCCCUCAAACUGCUCCUUUAUAGGGACUCUUAGUACAAUAUUCAGGCAAAUAAUAUCAUUUUCAGGGACUUCCCACAUGUGUAACCCUCAGGAGGGGCGUGGAAACGUUGGCCUCUGCCCUGGGUGUGCUUUCCUGAGCCCCCCAGUCCCAAUCCCAAUCCCAAUCCCAAUCCCAGUCCUGAGCAGUUGUGCCCCGUGGGAAGCAUUUCCAUGUAAAUCAUCAACAGACUGAGGUGACUGGAGGUAUUUAUUUGUGGUAGGCCUUUAGGAACCCCCUGCAGCACAACCACUGCUGGCCAUGGCUUUCCUUUAUCCUGGAAAAGGAGAUCCCAGCAAACUGUCCCAGGACAACAUCCCUGCCCACUGGGAACACUGGGAAAUCUCUGAGCUACUCCCACAGUAGAGAUGGUUGUAAACAGACCAUGUGGAUUCCCCCUGGAUAUUUCUGGAGAAUCAUGGGAGCAGGGAUGGCUGAUCCACACACCACACUCUGAUCCCUGGCAGGGCUUGAACUAUGUGGACAAACUGCUCUACAAACAAACCCUUUACUGAGGCAACUGGAAAUACAGAAAACAGGAGAAAUGACACUUAAAUACAAGACAAUAAUUAUUUAUACUGCAACAGCUGGAAUUUGUGCUAGUGAGUAACCAGAAUGUCUAACUCAAAGGCAUGGAAAAGCAUGUUUUCCCCAGGAAGGGGCUGCCUUAGACAUGGAAUGUCAAACACUGCUGCUUUUGGACUCUGACAGGA
Long non-coding RNA from Corapipo altera (White-ruffed manakin), 2768 nucleotides. RefSeq lists it as uncharacterized. The record is from RefSeq and is a predicted model, not a curated record. The transcript is spliced from 3 exons. NCBI's taxonomy places the organism in Eukaryota, Metazoa, Chordata, Aves, Passeriformes, Pipridae.